AAUGAACGCUGGCGGCAGGCCUAACACAUGCAAGUCGAACGGAUCCUUCGGGAUUAGUGGCGGACGGGUGAGUAACGCGUGGGAACGUGCCCUUUGGUUCGGAAUAGCCUCGGGAAACUGGGAGUAAUACCGGAUAAGCCCUUCGGGGGAAAGAUUUAUCGCCAAAGGAUCGGCCCGCGUUGGAUUAGGUAGUUGGUGGGGUAAUGGCCUACGAAGCCGACGAUCUAUAGCUGGUUUGCGAGGAUGAUCCGCCACACUGGGACUGAGACACGGCCCAGACUCCUACGGGAGGCAGCAGUGGGGAAUCUGAGACAAUGGGGGAAACCCUGAUCUAGCCAUGCCGCGUGAUCGAUGAAGGCCUUAGGGUUGUAAAGAGCUUUCAGUUGGGAAGAUAAUGACGGUACCAACAGAAGAAGCCCCGGCUAACUCCGUGCCAGCAGCCGCCGUAA
This 449-nucleotide ribosomal RNA is filed under the name uncultured bacterium. RNAcentral describes it as "partial 16S ribosomal RNA". It matches the Rfam family "Bacterial small subunit ribosomal RNA", at positions 29 to 523 of the family's 1533-position model. The record is from RNAcentral.